CUAUUGAUAAUUUGAUCUACUCCACAAGCUUAUGUAAAUACACAGUAAUUUUGAAAGGAUUAAUUGAAACAUGUUUAUUUAUAAAAUAAGUAAUCUGUGUGAUGAUAUGUUAUAUCAUAUAUUAAUAUAGAGAAACAAAGAAAAUUUUGUUUAGCAUUUCUGUGAAGCAUUCCAUAGCGGCUGGUCAUGAGCGGCGGUGUCUACUUGGCUAUGAACAAGAACUUCACAUAAUGUUCAUAUACCUUAGUAAGAAGAUCGCUAUUCCCAACAAUACUCGUUUACGAUGUGUAGGUUGGAACAAAGACCAGGGAUACAUUGCCUGUGGCGGUGAUGAUGGCUUAUUAAAAGUGCUCAAGCUGGAAGCUGGUAGAGAUACAGCUGACUUCACCUUUCACCAAUACUGAAGAAAUAAAUCUUGGUAUCAUUUGAUUGAUGGGGAAUUUUUCCGGUUUCAGGGAAGAUUUUGGAAUUUGCUUUCUCACCUAACCUCGGAACUGGUUAGCAGACUCAGAACAGAAACAUUUGGAGACUUUCCGUAAAAUCCCCAAAUUACUCAUAGACCAGAAAAAAUGCAGUUUCUGGAAAUUUCUGAACAUAUACCUUGGAGAAAUCAUAACAUACUGUAUGCCUUAA
Molecule: long non-coding RNA, 633 nt
Organism: Homarus americanus (American lobster)
Lineage: Eukaryota; Metazoa; Arthropoda; Malacostraca; Decapoda; Nephropidae
Exons: 3
Source: RefSeq, a predicted model, not a curated record